UUAUAAAACAAAAAUCAACGUUUUGUUUGCGUGUGUGUGUUGAUGUGCGUGUGUUAUACACGCACACUGUACACAGACACGAACCGAUCCCGACCAAAACCAAACUCCUCCUUCCCCCCUCCUCCCUCCGUUCUCUCUCUCCUCCUCUCCCUCCCCCCGGUCCCUUAUGCUCAGUUCAGUGUGUGUCUCCUCUUUCAAAGGGCGCAAGGGUGGGAACAAGUCGUCCAACAAAGCAUGUUACAGUGCAGACAUGACUUGUCCGCCAGAAAGCGAGAAAAUAGUGAUAAACUGCGGGGGGGUGAGACACGAAACCUACCGCAGUACCCUAAAGACGUUGCCCGGUACCCGCUUAUCGUGGCUCACAGAGCCGGAUGCAUUUAACAACUUCGAUUAUGAUCCCAAAAAUGACGAGUUCUUCUUUGAUCGCCACCCGUCCGUCUUUUCUUUCAUCCUCAACUACUACCGGACUGGAAAGUUGCACUGUCCGAACGAUGUAUGCGGUCCACUGUUCGAAGAAGAGUUGGCGUUUUGGGGCAUCGACGAGACGGACGUUGAGGCGUGCUGCUGGAUGAAUUACCGACAACACAGGGACGCGGAGGAAGCGCUGGACAGUUUUGAGACUCCAGAGCCUGACCCUCCCGAAGAUGACCCCGCACUAGGAGGAGCGGAUGGGGACCUGAAAAGACUGUGUCUGCAAGAGGACGGAAGGAAAGUCGGCUGGUGGCGCGUUUGGCAGCCCAAAAUUUGGGCGCUUUUUGAGGAUCCCUAUUCAUCUAAAUAUGCCCGGUAUGUGGCAUUCGGCUCCCUCCUGUUUAUCCUCAUCUCCAUCUCCACCUUCUGCCUGGAGACGCAUGAGGCCUUCAACACCAUCUACAACAAGACAGAAAAUGUGACGGUGGGCGAUGUCACACGGGAGGAGACUGUCUUCGAGGUGGUCACCGACAGCUGGCUGACCUACGUGGAAGGUGUGUGUGUCAUCUGGUUCACCAUUGAGGUCCUGCUCCGUGUCAUUUUCUGCCCGGACAAGGCUGAGUUCUUCAAGAGCGCCCUCAACAUCAUCGACUUUGUUGCAAUCCUGCCUUUCUACCUGGAGGUGGGGCUGAGUGGCCUUUCCUCCAAGGCGGCUAAGGACGUGCUGGGCUUCCUGCGAGUGGUGCGCUUUGUUCGAAUCCUGAGAAUCUUCAAGCUGACCCGACAUUUUGUGGGUCUGCGCGUCUUGGGCCACACCCUAAGGGCCAGUACCAAUGAAUUCCUUCUCCUCAUCAUCUUCUUAGCCUUAGGUGUCCUGAUCUUUGCCACCAUGAUCUACUAUGCUGAGAGGAUUGGUGCUGACCCAAACGACCCCACUGCCAGUGCCCACACAAACUUCAAGAACAUCCCCAUUGGGUUCUGGUGGGCAGUGGUGACCAUGACAACACUUGGCUAUGGGGAUAUGUAUCCAGUCACAUGGUCAGGGAUGUUGGUGGGAGCGUUGUGUGCUUUAGCUGGUGUGUUGACCAUUGCUAUGCCUGUCCCUGUCAUUGUCAACAACUUUGGGAUGUACUACUCCCUGGCCAUGGCCAAACAGAAGCUGCCCAAAAAGAAGAACAAGCAUAUCCCCAGGGCACCCCAGCCUGGAUCGCCCAACUACUGCAAACCUGAUGCCCUUGCAAUGGCCACUGCCUCACCCCAGAGAAUCCUCGGAAAUGUUUUGGGUGGGCUUGUUGGGUCAGGAAAUGUUGGAGGAGACUGUCCCCUGGCACAAGAAGAAAUUAUUGAAAUCAACAGAGACGCCAAGCAGAAUGGAGAUGCUGCCAAUGCUGCCCUGGCCAAUGAGGACUGCCCGACGAUCGACCAGGUGCUGAGCCCGGAGGAGAAGAGCCCAGCGGCGGGAGGGGGUGGAGUUGGGCGGGAACGCUACCAGCACGAUCGCGCCUGCUUCCUGCUCAGCACCGGCGAGUUCAGGGCCACAGAUGGGAAUGUGAGGAAAGAUUAAUAUACUGGUACAUCUCCAUCCCAUUCUCAGGCCACCUGUACAGUCCUCGUAGCAUAACAAAAGUUUGAACUGAGUGUUGAGUUUCUAAAAUCCUCCUUUUCUCUAAAGAAGAAAGUAUAAGAUUGAUCAGUUGAUCAUGAAUUCACGGAUGGAGCCUCAUUACCAAGAUGUGAGACACAGAUCGAGGGACAGCGAUGAUAGGGACAGAGAAGGAAUAUGAAGAAAAUAUGAAUUGUGAAGUCAGAACUGUAACCAAAGCAACCUCAUGGGACUUCUGCAACUCCAGCUUCUGUGGACUUCUGUGGCAACCUGCAAACAAGCGGAAAGAUCCAUGGACACACUCAAAAACCAACAGCGUCCUAAUGCACCACAACACUGCGAAAGCUGAUUCUCACUACCACACCAACUGACUGCUGCGAUGAUUCCCUGAGCAAGUAACGAUACUCAAAUGCAUCAACUGACUAAGUGACUUAAGCCCCAUGACCAAACAUGUAGCAUCUCUGCUAACACACUGUAGCAUUUGUUGGCCGAGAACAGACUGACAGACACCCUUUUAACUGACAGGAUGAAUAGACUGACAUGGAACAACUCACUGAUGCAUGCGUGUCUUAUCUCUGUUCCGUCCUACCCUUAAACCUAUUUGCACGAGAGACUUUAGAACCAACCCUUGCCAUAACAGAUGAAAGUGAGAUACGCACCCCUAUACCUUCCACCGCUGAAAACAGGCAAUAUGGAUUGGAAAAGGAAAAAGGUACCUAGUGUUAGAAAGUGAUAUGGAAAAUGGACACAGAACAAUGAUUUUUCUCUACCACUCAUUUAUUCUGUCGUGAAUCUGCUGGGACUUGACCCUGUGCACUCUCCAUGUUCACUCAUCAUACUGCAUCAACCAACCCUCAGUUUAUUUGAGAAUUAAGCUGCAAAACCCUUCUGGGACUCUUCAAAAAAUCUUCCCUGGUGGAUUCUCAUACAGCUGAGCACAUUUAGACAGAACCAAGACAGGGAUACACCAUCAGCAUUAUUUUGCAAAAUAAAUCAAAGUGCAAUUUCUUUGGUAACAGUAUCCUUAACCACUGGGAAAUGAAUCAACAUCAAAACUGACUUCAGUUGUUCCCCUGGAUUCUAUGCGACUGAAUACCCAUCAUAGCUACACAAUCAUAACAACCAGACUCACUUCUUACUACACUGUGCUCUUCAGUAUGCCUCCCUCCACAUUGCUUUCCACUCUUCAAUACACUUUUUCUCUAUUACUCCUCUCUAUGCAUUACUCCUCACCCUACAUUACUCCGCUCUCUGUAUUACUCCUCUGUCUGCAUUACUCCUCACUCUACAUUUUGCUCCUCUCUCUGCAUUACCCCUCACUCUACAUUUUACUCCUCUCUCUGCAUUACUCCUCACCCUACAUUACUCCUCUGUCUGCAUUACUCUUCUCUAUGCAGUACUCCUUUGUCUGUAUUACUCCUCACCCUACAUUACUCCUCUCUCUGCAUUACUCUUCUCUAUGCAGUACUCCUUUGUCUGUAUUACUCCUCACCCUACAUUACUCCUCUCUCUGCAUUACUCCUCACCCUACAUUUUACUCCUCUCUCUGAAUUACUCCUCACACUACAUUUUACUCCUCUCUCUGAAUUACUCUACUUUCUGCAUUACUCCUCUCUCUACAUUACUCCUCACUCUACAUUACUACUCUCUGAAUUACUCCUCUCUCUGCAUUACUUUUUACUCUUUUCUCUUCCAUCCUUACACAUUCUGUACUUUCCCCCUCAGAUAAAAUGGACUGUAAAAGAAAAAAAAACAUCUUAUAUUAAGACUUGAUUGCCAUCAAUUAUUUUGUACUUACAAAUUUUCAGACUUUCUAUGACUCCCAUCUCUCCAUUUUACUUAGACAGCCUCAGUUAUAAAAGGCCAAUCAUAUUCAGACUGACCAUGCUUGAUAGUCUAACAAAAAACAAUGAAAUUGCAAUACACUGGCAUCUAUGAUAAACAAAGAUUAAAUAUAUUUCAUGAUGUAAUUGGGGGUGUUCAGAUUAAACCCAAAGACUGAUGGGUAUCCCAAUUGUACCAAAGCUGUAACAAUGGUUCUGAAAAGUAAGAGCAAGGUCUUGGCUAAGGUGAUGGGGAAUGGAACUUUGUGUCAUUUUAAACUUAUUUUUCUACCCCAAAUUAAUAAUUGUACAUUCUUACAGAAGAGAUUUCCAUGGUAACAUUUCCCACACCAUUACCAGUCUUCCAUUAGUUACCAUUAUUUUUAUAAAAACAAUUAUAUAUGAUAUAAGAAGAUAUACUAAAUGUGGUACUAUAUAUAUAUAUAUAUAUAUAUAUAUCCCUAGUCUGAAAUAGCCCCCUACACUGUGAAUUCAUUGACAGUAAGUUCAUUAACAGACACUUAUUCAGUCAAGUAUACUGCCUAGAUGUUGGACCUAAGCGUGUGUUGGGAAUAGAAUAAAAAAAACCCAACAUGUGACCGGAUCCUAAUUUUUAAACCAUAUUGGUUUUGAGAGCUAUAUGGAAGAAUAAACAAUGCACUCACCUGAGCCAAUUUAUCAUCCAUAAAUAGAUUGGAUAAGGUCCUGUGCAAGAUCACUAGAGUCUCACACAUCCCAAUCCCAAAGCCUUACCACAUAACCUACUAAACAAAAUGGACCAGGAGGCUCCCCAUGGAUCCAGCUUAUAUCAUCCGUGGAAGCAAAUUAGCUCAUCCACCUUCACAUUUUGACAUAACCCAGCAAUGCCCUGACCAUGAUACAAGUAGCACUCAACUUUGUACUUCGAAUUGUGUGAUGAUCAGAGUCAUCCAAUCACCUAGCUAAGCCCAUUGUCAUUAAAGGUGCCCAAUGACAACCUUCUCACAGCCAACACAAAAACCAAUCAAAGGGCCCCAGCUUCUUCAGUGGUUCCUUUUUGAAGGCAGUACAUUGAGCCAGUAUGACAUUGUAUCUCACCUGUCCAAAAUAAUUAUCAAAUGUACUUUUUAGUCAUAUACCCAGGAUCAGCCUUAAGCCAGCAACCUGGAUAAUUUAGCUAAACCAUCCGUUGUGUUAUAUUUUGUCACAAUCUAUUUUAAAUCAGUAAUCCAAUCAAACCAAGCAAACAAAAAGCAUCAAUCCACUGAAUCAACUGUCAACAAAGAUCAACUCCACCACCUCUUUGGUGAAGAAACUGAAUAAUCCAUGUGGAGCUAAUUAUCCUGCUGCUAAAUGGAAUUUAUGCAUUGUUUGAAAUACUCAACAAAAAAAACCCACAUUUACUGCCCAUAAUCUCAAACAAAUUAGGUUCUUGUACCAUGAGCAUGUGAUUAACUGAAUGAACUGAGGAGAAUAAAUAGGGGACAGACAUUUCUUUCAAGGUAACAGCAAUUCAAUGGAACAUAUAUACCAACCUUGUUGUAAUAUGUCUGCGUACAGUAAGACGGACUCACAUUCGUAUACUGAUACUGGUCACCAGCUGAAAGACCUGCUCUGCUCUCUGCUCUCUGAAUGAGAAGAAGUGUGCAUUGACCUUGACAGAGAAAGACAGAGAUUGGGCCCUAGAGACAAAGCGCACUAUCUCCCACUAAAAGCACUGAGGUUGGCUCUGGAGAAAUAGACACUUUAUGAGGACACUUUAAGUCAUAUCAAAUAAAUUCAGGUUGUGAGUACUCCUCUGCAUUGCUGUUUUUGCAAGGGAUAGAAAGCAGUGACAAAACAGUGUGGAUGGACACACUGCUCUCUCUCUCUCUCUCUCUCUCCUCUCUCUCUCUCUCUCUCUCUCUCUCUCUCUCUCUCUCUCUCUCUCUCCCCCCCCUUUUACUCUGUUCAAUGUUUCUUUGUGUGACCUCUGUACAGCAUUGCAUGGCAUGAGAAGAAGAAGAGAGAAUGAGCAAGAGAAAAGGAUGGAGUGAAAGAAGAAUUACGAAUGCCAGUGAACAUAUAUAAAACAUAUAUAAAAUCAAAUAUAUUUGGGGGAACACCUACACGUGGGUACUAAGAAUUAAAUGGUUUUUAAUGCAAUGCAAAAUUCCUGAUGUCCUACCUACCAAGCUUACCUGGCUGCCAACAUCUACAAUUAUAAUUAAAAUUGUACUGGAAGUGCUUCAUUGCAGAGAUAACAAAAACAGAAUGGAUUCAAGUACUACAACGGUGAUGACGUUGGUAAACAGUUGUCUUCUGCAUCAAAAAUGGAAUAUUCAGGACUGGCAAAUGAAAGGGAGAUAAAAAAAGGCAUUGCAACUCUGAAAGGACAGAAUGAACACAAAAAAACAAGAGAGAGAUGAACAAUUUCAUAGACAAAAACAGACAAAUCAAAAAAAAGAAGAAAAUGCAUUUUUGUUACUUUGUUUACCAGCAUGACUAUUCUGCAUGACUUUACUUCUACAAGCCCUUACUUGAAGAUGAAGGGGCUGGGAAUUCAAAAAAGAACAAACUGAAGAAUAAAACAGAGAAAAAAACAAUAUGUUAUAUGCAACUAAAAGGGGGGCUGAAAACAGGACUAUAUUAAAAAAAGAGGAUCUAUAUUUUGUUUUUGAUUAAUAAAAAGGUGAAUAAAUAAAAAAAUAUCUAGGAUUGCAAGAUACACAUCGAAUUGUUUUAUUAGAUAUAUGAUACAAUCCCACAAAAUCUGUGUACACUGCAAUUAACUUUUCUUGCUCCAUGUACCACUACUAUCUCUUUACCUUCUAUUUCUCUCACUCUAUGAUGGCUACUUGUUUUCUGAAUUCUCUGCUCCCAUCACUGGUAUUUUUAAACAUUGUUGCUAUCAUGAUAUCAAUAGAUCGACUGUCCUUUUAUUGGGUUCAUAACAUUCUCUUUACUUUUGUUCUGUACAACCCAUCAGAGGUUCCGAGGACGGUACUUCCCCAAGAGCACAUUCCAAAGAAGAGUGGCAGUACUUUUGAUUUUCAAAUAGUUUUCCUCCGUACAGUGUCCUGCAGCUUUGCUAUAGAUGUCUAUCUGAAUUGGCAAUAAUAAUCUGAAAUAUUAUGAUAAGGGGCAAGUUAGUUGUUUUCCAUUUAACCAGAAACCUGAUCAAAUGUCUUUACGGGUGCCCUUGAAUGGAAUCACAUUUGGACUUGUUCUUGGGAAAGUAGCCUGAUGUUUUGUCAUUUGGUGUAGACAACAUAGUACAGUGGUUUCAGUUGAAAAGGGCUGUAUCUGGUAUUACAAUGCAAAGCAAUGUUUGUUCAAUGAAGACAUCUGAUUUAUUUUACGUGUCUGACAAAAAAAUAACAUAUUUAACUAACAUAAAAAAUAUAUUUAUUUUUUUCAUGUUCAUUACUUCUCUGCAAGCAAAAACAGAAGACAAAACAAUAAUGGGUGUAAAGGACUAAGGUGUAUUGCUGUUGGCGCCAUUCACAGAUGUUGAAAAUAGUGUUUGUUUUAAUGAAAGCAGAGUUGCGGGGGGAAGUCAGUGGCAAUCUGGAAUUCAACUAAAAUGUUACCUCUACAGUGCAUGCACACACCAGCCGCUACCCCUCUUGAGUGUCAAAUCUAAAAGCAUAGCGAGAUGGAAAGGAUGAAUUUAAUACUUUGCAUUUGUUUAUUACAUUUGAGAGUAAGCUUGCCAAGUUUAUGGACAAAUGUUAGCAAAAAUAUAUGGAUUGUAUUCUUGGCCCACUGCCACCACUCUCCCAUGUGUAGCUCAAUAAGAUAUACUCAUCCUAUACAUACAAUAGCAUUCAAAAUUAUUUGCACCCUUGGCAACAAUAAGAAAAAAAGACUAUAAAAUAAACAAUGCAAGUAAUGACCUAUCCAUUUUGCUAAAAAAAAAAAUCUGUUAUUUCAUUUGGAACAGAUAGGUAUGGUUAGAUGAGACCAAAAUUAGGCUUUUUUGGUCACACCAUGCAGAUCUAAUCUCCCACAUAGACCAUGUUAUUUUCCAGAUAUUCUACCACACCCACCCCACCCCACCCCUACUCCCCCUGCUUACUGUGUCGUUUUGAAAUGUGCGCGAAGAAAUAGUAACAAAGUUUACACUGUGUAAAUGUUGAUGAAAUUUUUGCUUCAGGGAUAUGAAUUCUCAGUGAUGAGAAAUAUGAAAGGGUCUAGUUGUUUUGAAACAUUCAUGUCCAUAUUGUGCAGUUAGGUCAUGUGCAAAUAUAUUUUAAUAAGCUAUAAUCAUAAUAUUUCCCCAAACACUGCUUAGAGUGAACAAGGUGUACAAGGCCUUCCCUUUGGAGAUCUUAUCACAACUAGUAUUUUAGUUGUGAUGUCAAGGGUGGAAAUAUACCAUAACAGAAGGUUUCCCUGCCAGUAAACCGAACUCUAUAAUUUGUCUACACCUUAUCCUUGCCUGUAUGCACUUCUAUGUCAAAUAUUAACAGUUGUCCUGCUAAUGGGGAAAUGCUCGUAGUUAGAACAUGGGAGAAGUCUUUGAAUGGUCAGUGGCUGUAAUUAGGAUUUUAUCAUGUUAUGCUGUUCCACAGACCUUAAAGCAUCUAUUUUGACUUGAAGAGUGGGGCCCAAGGCAAAGUGCACCCUCAGCCUGUUUUGUUCGGUGUGUUAAAGGCCCAGAGCCACUUGAUCUACAGUUACAGCUGUAGACACCUCCCGGAGCAAGUCUUCAAAUCAGCCCAGGCCCCUGUGCUGUCUCCCUUAGGCCUGCAAGGCUCAGAAGACUCAGUCAUUGACAGAGACGGAAGUGGCCCAGGCUGUUGCAGGCAUAUGACUUGCCAUCCCAAGAUAUAAAGGACAGUGUCACUCAUCACAGUAAGAGCUCCACCAAGUGGUAUGAUUUAGGUGCCAUGCCAGAAUGGGAAGCUCUUUAAUAAAUAAAACAAUAAAUGGAUAAAUAACAACUAGGCCGGGUUCAUUUAUCCAUUUAUUUGUUAUGUGUUCAUUCCAUUUGAGUUCUGUCUCUUAGCACCCUUGCCAAAUGUGUUCAUUUGUCCAUUUAUGAUUUAUGUUUCUUUGUUAUUAAAUACAGAAUUCCACAGUUAUUGUAGAAGGCACUGACCCACUUUUACAAGAGUCACGCAGAUUAACAUUUAGUUCACAGGCAGAAUCUUGAAUCUUGAAUAUAUUCCUGAGUCAAAAAUAUCUAUUCAAUUCAAUUUUCAAUUAAAAUUAAUUUGUGUAGCACUUAAAGAGACACUGUCACAGACACACACAAAAAACAGGAAAUUUGAAAAUUUGGAAAGACCAGACUGAAGUUCUACUGUGUCAUUGAACAAAAGACUUCAUUUAUAACCCCCAAAGAAUUCCAGUUGAUUAAAAAUUAUGCAUUAAAAUAUGUUGGCAUUAAAAUGCACCUCUUGUACAAGAUUCCUUGCAUAUAUAACACCCAACCUGAAAUAAUCAAUAGCCAUACUGAUUCACAUCUCCCAAUCUGUAAACAAACCUAUGCAUGUUCAGUUGGUCCUGGGCUCCUAUCCAGAAUUGAAUUGGUGGUAUAAAAUGACAUGAUUUAAUAUUGGAAAUAAUUUGUUAUAACAUUUAUAUAAAGGGAAAAGAGCAGGAUACUACUAGGUACUGUGGCAACUUGAAUGUUUAUUUUUAUUUUUUUAUUUUUUUUGGGCGGGGGGGUUAUUGGCAAUCAGUCAUUUGAAAUGCAAAGGGAAAUUCAGAUACUACUACUACUACUACUAAUAAUAAUAAUAAUAAUAAUAAUAAUAAUAAUAAUAAUAAUAAUAAUAAUAAUACUAAUAAUAAUAAUAAUAAUUGGGGUUAAAGUCACUGGGGUUGGGCCCAGGUGUUUGAAGGAAAUACAUGAUAGUUUCAGUUAUACCUACCCGUCAAUUAUAAAUACAGGGUAAAAUGUUCUAUUAACUAGAUCUCUGACCAUUGUACACCUGUUUGUAGCAUUAGAAUUUACAAAUGAUCAGGCAAAGGUAUGGGUAUAGAAUAAUACUGAGCAAAGCAACCAUGUCAUUGACAGACCUUCAGGUUUUUCUAGUGACUUUUUUAGGAAGAUUUACAUUACAUGUAGAUCUUGUCUUCACUGUCCAAAGAAACAUAUGACCGGGGAAAGUUGGUAGUGCCUUUUGUGGGACAUGUUUUAGCUGGCCAACAGACUGCCAAAUUGGUUUCAUUUGCUGUAUUCGUAGUUGCAUUUGUAGAGUGAUGAGGAGCAAAGAUGGAUCACAAGUCCAGUACUGCAGUCCAUCACAGGCCAGAAGCACAGCAGGCCUUCAUACCUUUCUCCCAGAAGCCCACAUGUAACAAAAACAUUUUUUUUAAAUCAAGCAGCAUUUGUAGCAUGGGUGUAAGACUAAAGGUUCAGUAUACUAAGAUUUUUUCGUAGUAUUUUUCCAGUCUUUAUCUUUUCUUUCCACUAAUGUCUUACUUUUUCAACAAUUAACAUCUUUGUGUGUACACUUUUCUUCUUUUCCUUUAAUUAUAAAGUAUAACCCAAUCCAGCUUAUUGCCAGACACCUUGCAAGGGCGCUUCACGCUGACUGGUCAAUUUGGAGAGAUAAUGUCAUUUUGAUGAGCAGGCAAACGGACAAGUGCUAAAUAUGGGUGUCUGUGGGAGUGUGAUGCUGUUCAUGUAGCCUCUCGGCCCGUUUCAAGAAGGGAGAGAGAUUUCCUUUGAGGAUGGUAGAGCCAGUGGCUGCUUUAAAAAAAGAGCAUGGUAUUCAGCUGACCAAAUCCAAGCUUAAUUUAUGUAACAUCAUUGCUUUAAAUAGACUAAUUAGCACUGUUUUUGGUAAUAACCUGGCCUGGACUAGGUUAUGUCUCAUUUCCUGUUGUCAUAUGUUUUAAUUUUAUCUGUAUUUUUAUCAUUGUACUGAUCUGCAAUCCUUCUACCUUUCUUUCAUUAUUUAUUUUCUUCUCAAACUCUCUUCUCUCUUUCCUUAACAUACUUAAAGUUUGGCACAAAAUGUUCAGACUCAUUUGAUGUAGCACACACUCACACAUACAUAUGCAUGCACACAAAUGCUAACACUCAAACACAAGCAUAUACACACAUGGUUGUGGAAAGAAAGGUGAGAGAGAUGUUGGGGAAUAGGAUGGCAUUCGUAUAAAAUGACUAUGGGACAGAGAAAGAGAGAGAGAAACAAGGAAAGACAUGAGGAAUUCACACUGCCCAAAACCAGUUUUGUAGAAAACUGCACAGUCCUGGUUAAAUGUAAAAAUAGCCUGUCCUAUGGAUUAAAUGGUGGUUCCACUGUCAGAGCAAUAAUUAGCUAGUUAAAACCCUGCCCAGCUUUUCUGCAGCAGAUUUUUUCACUGGAUUUCUUUUUUUUUUUUUUUUGGUCCCAAUGUUUAUUUAGGGGCACUCUCAUCCAUAUACACAAACUGAAUAGGUAUUGCAUCCAUCUGGAUACUGUGCUUGAUUUUGAAUGAAUUGCAAGACUGCAAGUUUUGUCAUUGAAUAUGUAUCUAUGCAGGAUCGUGCUGUACAUAGGACUGAGACUGGACCAGACUUUAGCUGAAGCUCAUUGAAGGCAAAACCCCCUUGAAAAUAAUGUCAGUAGCAUCAGCUAGUAUCUUUACUUGAAGUCAAACACAGAACAUAUCAGGGGAGUUGGUUUUAGAAUUUGCUGGUAAUUAGUGCUAUUUUCUCUCUCUCUUUUUUUCUACCUAACAUUCCUCUCUCCAAGCCCACAUUUUUCAUGUGCCUCUCUUUUUCUCCCUCCUUCACCAGUAAGGUAUUUUUGUAUCUCUUGCUCUCACUUUUUCCCACAUAUUGUUAUAACGUUGAAUAACGCAUGUCAAAAAAAUGAAAAGCCAGAAUGAAGUCAUUCUUUUUCACUCUUUUUCUGUGUUGAUCUUGUUCUCUAUUGCAAUGAUGAUGAAAGGUCAUGUCUUAGAAACAGUACAUGUACUUAUUUUAGCUUACUGUUAUUGUGUAUUGUUUGGGUCAUAAUCAUUGCAGUUGAUAUUAUUAUCAUCAUUGUCAUUAUUUAUGAAUCAUCAUUUUGUGGUUUUGUUCUGUUUUGGUUUUCUUAGUCAUCUUGCUGUAUAUGUAGAAGCAAACUUUGGUGACCUUUGUUUAAAGAUACUUCAUUACACCACUAUAAAAUAGAAUAUAUUAGAAAUGAUUAUAAUUAUUAUAUUAUUCACAUCAGCAGUAUUAUAUGCUAUUUGCUUUGUGAGAACAAAUAUUAAUGUGAGUACAGAUAUCCCAGGCUUAUUGUGUGAGCCUGAUACAGAGUUAACUAAUUCUUCUUGAAUACCUACAUUUCUUAAGACAGAGGGCAAGUACUAAACUGAUGUUGCCCAAUGGUUCAGUUUCAUGAACCAGUUGAAUGUGAAUUUUACUUUCAAAAUGUGGGAUUUAACAAACUGGUUUUCUAGACAAAUGGAUGCUUUCCUGUAUGUCUGAUAUAUAUUAUAUACAGUAUAUAUAUAUAUAUAUAUAUAUAUAUAUAUGUGUGUGUGUGUGUGUGUGUGUGUAUAUAUAUAUAUAUAUAUAUAUAUAUAUAUGUCAGCAACAUUGCAACAUGUGGAUUGUUAGUGUGUUCAUCCUCAUCAUGUGCCUGUAGUCCUGGUUCUUGUUCACCUUACCCUGUAUCUCGUAGGUAGAUGAUAUACACACAUAGCUCGGGAGCCUGGAACAGUCUCCAAUUCAAAAUUAAAUUUCAUGUGCAUGAUCACAAAGGCAAAUUAUAAAACAUUAUAGUCUCCCUUUUGAAUUUUGUUUUCAUAGCGUGUGUGUAUGUCAAUCUAGUUAUUUAAGUUUGUUUUAAUUUAUAUACUUGAAGUGAUGAUAAACUCUGCAUUCCCACUCCUGGUAUUGUACUUAUGUGUUUUCCAUUGCAGAUAUUACUGAUAAUGAUGAUAAUGAUCACAGAUAAUUACAAUUUUUAAUUAAUUUCUAUGCUGUUAACUUUAUGCAGAAUACAUGAGCAACUUAACAGGAAAUAUGUGUGUUGGUGUGUGCAUAUAUCAUUGCAAUUGCAAAGGUCACUCACAAACUUAAACACACACUUUGCUUAGUAGCUUAGCAAAAAAACUCUCACAAACACCAACA
Anguilla rostrata (American eel) is the source of this 12865-nucleotide RNA transcript. It is a transcript of the gene named potassium voltage-gated channel subfamily C member 1-like, with no coding region annotated. The transcript is spliced from 6 exons. NCBI's taxonomy places the organism in Eukaryota, Metazoa, Chordata, Actinopteri, Anguilliformes, Anguillidae. The record is from RefSeq and is a predicted model, not a curated record.